Molecule: ribosomal RNA, 112 nt
Filed under: uncultured bacterium
Lineage: Bacteria
Description: partial 16S ribosomal RNA
Rfam family: Bacterial small subunit ribosomal RNA
Source: RNAcentral
UGUUGCGGUGAAUACGUUCCCGGGUCUUGUACACACCGCCCGUCAAACCAUGAAAAUGACCAACACCCGAAGUCCGAUUCGUCGGCCUAAGGUGGGGGGCAUGAUUGGGGUU